Molecule: small nuclear RNA, 134 nt
Organism: Octodon degus (degu)
Lineage: Eukaryota; Metazoa; Chordata; Mammalia; Rodentia; Octodontidae
Gene: U4
Rfam family: U4 spliceosomal RNA
About the family: U4 small nuclear RNA (U4 snRNA) is a component of the major U2-dependent spliceosome. The structure of U4 snRNA from yeast and human has been reported.
Source: Ensembl
AGCUUUGCACAGUGGCAGUAGCUGUGAGGAUUAUCCAAGGCAUGAUUAUUACUAAUUGAAAACUUUUCCCAAUGCCUUGCCAUGGCGACUUGAAGUAUAGUCUGCAUUAGCAAUUUUUGGACAGCCUGUAUGGA